UCCCAGUUCGGAUUGUAGUCUGNAACCCGACUACAUGAAGCUGGAAUCGCUAGUAAUCGCGGAUCAGAAUGCCGCGGUGAAUACGUUCCCGGGUCUUGUACACACCGCCCGUCACACCAUGGGAGUCGGAAAUGCCCGAAGUCGGUGACCGAACCGAAAGGAAGGAGCCGCCGAAGGCAGGUCUGGUGACUGGGGUGAAGUCGUAACAAGGUACC
RNAcentral lists this ribosomal RNA (215 nucleotides) under uncultured bacterium. RNAcentral's name for it is "partial 16S ribosomal RNA". It matches the Rfam family "Bacterial small subunit ribosomal RNA", at positions 1286 to 1500 of the family's 1533-position model. The record is from RNAcentral.